This 164-nucleotide ribosomal RNA is filed under the name uncultured bacterium. RNAcentral describes it as "partial 16S ribosomal RNA". It matches the Rfam family "Bacterial small subunit ribosomal RNA", at positions 337 to 494 of the family's 1533-position model. The record is from RNAcentral.
UCCUACGGGAGGCAGCAGCGGGGAAUAUUGGACAAUGGGCGCAAGCCUGAUCCAGCAAUGCCGCGUGUGUGAAGAAGGCCUUCGGGUUGUAAAGCACUUUUAUCAGGAGCGAAAUGCCAUGGGCUAAUACCCUAUGGAGCUGACGUACCUGAGAAUAAGCCCGC